GAUGAACGCUGGCGGCGUGCUUAACACAUGCAAGUCGAACGGAAAGGCCAGUGCUUGCACUGGUACUCGAGUGGCGAACGGGUGAGUAACACGUGGGUGAUCUGCCCUGCACUUCGGGAUAAGCCUGGGAAACUGGGUCUAAUACCGGAUAGGACAAUGGUUUGGAUGCCGUUGUGGAAAGUUUUUUCGGUGUGGGAUGAGCUCGCGGCCUAUCAGCUUGUUGGUGGGGUAAUGGCCUACCAAGGCGUCGACGGGUAGCCGGCCUGAGAGGGUGUACGGCCACAUUGGGACUGAGAUACGGCCCAGACUCCUACGGGGGGCAGCAGUGGGGAAUAUUGCACAAUGGGCGCAAGCCUGAUGCAGAGACGCCGCGUGGGGGAUGACGGCCUUCGGGUUGUAAACUCCUUUCGCUAGGGACGAAGCGUAUUUGUGACGGUACCUGGAGAAGAAGCACCGGCUAACUACGUG
RNAcentral lists this ribosomal RNA (468 nucleotides) under uncultured bacterium. Its description in RNAcentral is "partial 16S ribosomal RNA". It matches the Rfam family "Bacterial small subunit ribosomal RNA", at positions 28 to 507 of the family's 1533-position model. The record is from RNAcentral.